UUGAACGCUGGCGGCAGGCCUAACACAUGCUAGUCGAGCGGAUGAAGGGAGCUUGCUCCUGGAUUCAGCGGCGGACGGGUGAGUAAUGCCUAGGAAUCUGCCUGGUAGUGGGGGAUAACGUCCGGAAACGGGCGCUAAUACCGCAUACGUCCUGAGGGAGAAAGUGGGGGAUCUUCGGACCUCACGCUAUCAGAUGAGCCUAGGUCGGAUUAGCUAGUUGGUGGGGUAAAGGCCUACCAAGGCGACGAUCCGUAACGUGUCUGAGAGGAUGAUCAGUCACACUGGAACUGAGACACGGUCCAGACUCCUACGGGAGGCAGCAGUGGGGAAUAUUGGACGAUGGGCGAAAGCCUGAUCCAGCCAAGCCGCGUGUGUGAAGAAGGUCUUCGGAUUGUAAAGCACUUUAAGUUGGGAGGAAGGGCAGUAAGUUAAUACCUUGCUGUUUUGACGUUACCAACAGAAUAAGCACCGGCUAACUUCGUG
RNAcentral lists this ribosomal RNA (483 nucleotides) under uncultured bacterium. RNAcentral describes it as "partial 16S ribosomal RNA". It matches the Rfam family "Bacterial small subunit ribosomal RNA", at positions 30 to 507 of the family's 1533-position model. The record is from RNAcentral.